UACGUAGGGACCAAGCGUUGUUCGGAUUUACUGGGCGUAAAGGGCGCGUAGGCGGCUUGACAAGUCACUUGUGAAAUCUCCGGGCUUAACUCGGAACGGCCAAGUGAAACUGUCAUGCUAGAGUGCAGAAGGGGCAAUCGGAAUUCUUGGUGUAGCGGUGAAAUGCGUAGAUAUCAAGAGGAACACCUGAGGUGAAGGCGGCAUCCUGGACCGAUACUGACGCUGAGGAGCGAAAGCUAGGGGAGCAAACGGG
Molecule: ribosomal RNA, 253 nt
Filed under: uncultured bacterium
Lineage: Bacteria
Description: partial 16S ribosomal RNA
Rfam family: Bacterial small subunit ribosomal RNA
Source: RNAcentral